RNAcentral lists this long non-coding RNA (1015 nucleotides) under Marmota monax (woodchuck). The record is from RNAcentral. Lineage: Eukaryota; Metazoa; Chordata; Mammalia; Rodentia; Sciuridae.
AUUUUUUUUUUGUAAUGGGGAGUGAACCUAGGUGCACUACACAACUGAGCCACAUCCAAGGCCCUUUCUUAAAUCUUAUUUUGAGAUUUAAAGUUGCUCAGGCUGGCCUUGAACUUGUGAUCCACUUGACUUGGUUUCCCGAGUCUCUGGAACUUCAGGACUAUGCCACCACACCUGGCUUACCUGGCUUAAAAGUUAUUUUUUUAAUGAUAGUACGCUCAACCUGAAUUUUACCAUUUCAGCCAUUCUCCAGUAUAUACAAUGUGUCAAUGACAUCACAUUGUCACACAACCAAACUCUAGAACUUUUUUCAUCUUGCAAAACUGAAACUCUAUCCUCAUUAAAGACUAACUCCCCUCCCCCAGCCUCUGGCAAGCCACACUACUCUUUCUUUGAGUAUGAAGAUGCUAGGGACCUCAGGGGUGGAAUCACAUGCUAAUUGUCCUUCUGAGGUCUGCUUUGGUGUUUUAGCUCAAUGUCCUCAGCACAGGUCUGCACUGCAGCAUGUGACUGAGCCUGCCUCCCUACCAAGGCUGAGCACCCUGUACCAAUGCCACCUCUCCCUCCUCCAUUCACCCUUCCACAGUCCCCUGGACUCACUGAGUCUUUUCCCCAGCUGCCUUGGAGAAACUCUUUCUUUGGUGCCCUGCAGCCUUGACUGUGCCAGAUGUGAAUGGCCUGCCCCUGUUCUGCCUGGAGACUGCAGGCUCUGUGAGAUGGUGCUCUCUGUCCUGGGAAAAUCAAGAACGAUCCUCCCUCUUUCCUCUGGCCUCUUUCUCCUCUUUACUCACCUGGUUUUCACCCACAGACCUCAGAAGCUCUGUUCUUUUCUUUUCCCAUCUGCAACUUCUCUGUGUGAGCAUGACAUUUCUAUUGCCCAGUCCUCCGGUUCUCGGCCCCUUCCCCCUGCUGUCUCCAGGCUGCUGCUGAGCCAUCAAGAAGAGUCUCCAUCCCCACUCCAGGUGUUGUCUGUGGCCUUCCCACUCAGCUAUUUUCUUAAUACCUAUGGUUUCCA